RNAcentral lists this ribosomal RNA (647 nucleotides) under uncultured bacterium. RNAcentral describes it as "bacterial SSU rRNA". It matches the Rfam family "Bacterial small subunit ribosomal RNA", at positions 113 to 777 of the family's 1533-position model. The record is from RNAcentral.
ACGCGUGGAUAACCUGUCCUACUCUGCGGGAUAACAGUCAGAAAUGAUUGCUAAUACCGCAUAAGCCCACAAAACCGCAUGGUUUAGAGGGAAAGGUAACGGAGUAGGAGGGAUCCGCGUCUGAUUAGUUAGUUGGUGGGGUAACGGCCUACCAAGACCGCGAUCAGUAGCCGACCUGAGAGGGUGAUCGGCCACAUUUGGGACUGAGACACGGCCCAAACUCCUACGGGAGGCAGCAGUGGGGAAAUAUUUGCACAAUGGACGGAAGUCUGAUGCAGCAACGCCGCGUGAAGGAAGAAGGUUCUCGGAUCGUAAACUUCUAUCAAUAGGGACGAAAACAAUGACGGUACCUAAAUAAGAAGCCCCGGCUAACUACGUGCCAGCAGCCGCGGUAAAACGUAGGGGGCAAGCGUUAUCCGGAAUUACUGGGUGUAAAGGGUGAGUAGGCGGCACUUCAAGUCAUAUGUGAGCCCCCAGGCUUAACCUGGGGACUGCAUAAGAAACUGAAGGGCUAGAGUACAGGAGAGGUAAGCGGAUUCCUAGUGUAGCGGUGAAAUGCGUAGAUAUUAGGAAGAACACCAGUGGCGAAGGCGGCUUACUGGACUGAAACUGACGCUGAGUCACGAAAGCGUGGGUAGCGAACAGGA